AAUAGAUUCAGCAGUGCAUGUGACUCCUGACGAACAUCCCGUUAAAGAGUUACGUUUGCAUUGCGACAAAUUUAUAGCCGCCUCUCGAUCGCCCUGAUAUUUGAUAACAGCGGUAUAACUUUGCACACGACCAACUUCAAGACAUUCUAUUUCUAGUAUUCUCUGUAGUCACCUGACGGACUUACUGACAAGUCAACAGACGGAUCAAACCAUCAAACACACUUUUGCUCUCUUAAAAAAAGCUCAAGGAUCAAAUAAUACCUAAAGGAAAUGAUAAGGAAAUCAUCUAAGGCAAUGUGGUGACAAUCAACGGGUCGUUGAGUGGUGAUUCCGGGGCCACUUAUCGAAUGGAUCUAUCAUAAUAAAAAUAAUUAAUUUUACUGAAUCGUGAGCAAUCGGCUAUAGACGUUCGGACAGGCUCGAGUGGCGCACGAUCGGCGAACGCGCAAAUAUUGGCCAAAUCAAUUGUCGGCGGAAAUGAAGCAAUCAAGUCAAAAGGUUUAUCUCGCUCUAGUGACUCGGUUCUCCGUUCUCCGUUUUCCGUUCUCGGUUCUCAAUUCUCUAUUCUCAGUGCGGCGACCAACUGACCAACAGACGUCACCUCCAUUUGCAUAUCAAAAUAACGUACAAGUCGCAGCUAUCAAUGGACGGGGACACGUUUGACAAAAAAGCCAAUAGAAAAUAAAAAACCCACGAAACCAAGACAGGGAGAAGUGUACCGAAUGCUGUUUGUUUACCGAGAAAACAUCGCCAUCUAGAUGUGUGGGCUCGCAUUAAGUGGAUACAUUCGUAUGUGUGCACUUGCAUGACUGCAAGUUCUUGGAAACUUCCACAAAAUAAAAAGAUUUAUAAAUUAGUUUUUCGUUGAAUAGCAAGCACUAUUAUCUAAGAUACCAAGUUUACUUAUUUGUUGUGCAAUUAUGCUCUUAUAUAAAUAACAUCUCGAAAACUGUUGCGCAACUUAAUUGCAAAGAAGGAGCACGGAAUGAGCUUUUGACAGAAAUGAUUAUUUCAUAAUUUAACUGAAAUUGGGAAGUCAGUGGAAUACUAAUGAAUUCUCAAUUUAAAAUUAGAAUAAACUUGUGGAAGUCAGCUUAUAUAGACAAAGUAUUCUUAAUUUGAAAUCUUCCCAACCCAUACUUUUUUUAUUGGUAAGAAAGCAUAAAUUAUAGAGUUAGAAACAAAAUGAAAAAUAAUGAAUUUAAACGAUUAUUUUUUUUUUAACUUUAGACUGGAUCAUUAGUGU
This is a long non-coding RNA of Drosophila gunungcola (fruit fly), 1246 nucleotides long. RefSeq lists it as uncharacterized. Lineage: Eukaryota; Metazoa; Arthropoda; Insecta; Diptera; Drosophilidae. The record is from RefSeq and is a predicted model, not a curated record. The transcript is spliced from 3 exons.